AGAGUUUGAUCAUGGCUCAGAACGUACGCUGGCGGCACGCCUAACACAUGCAAGUCGAACGAAGUAGCAAUACUUAGUGGCAGACGGGUGAGUAACAUGUAGGUAUCUGCCCUUUGGCCUGGAAUAACACGAGGAAACUUGUGCUAAUACCGGAUAAGUCUUUACGGAGAAAGCUUUAUGCACCAUUGGAUGAGCCUGCACUUGAUUAGUUUGUUGGUGGGGUAAUGGCCUACCAAGACUGUGAUCAAUAGCUGAUUUGAGAGGAUGAUCAGCCACAUUGGGACUGAGACACGGCCCAAACUCCUACGGGAGGCAGCAGUGGGGAAUCUUGCACAAUGGAGGAAACUCUGAUGCAGCGAUGCCGCGUGAGUGAAGAAGGCCUUUGGGUUGUAAAGCUCUUUCGUCGGGGAAGAAAAUGACUGUACCCGAAUAAGAAGGUCCGGCUAACUUCGUGCCAGCAGCCGCGGUAAUACGAAGGGACCUAGCGUAGUUCGGAAUUACUGGGCUUAAAGAGUUCGUAGGUGGUUGAAAAAGUUGGUGGUGAAAUCCCAGAGCUUAACUCUGGAACUGCCAUCAAAACUUUUCAGCUAGAGUAUGAUAGAGGAAAGCAGAAUUUCUAGUGUAGAGGUGAAAUUCGUAGAUAUUAGAAAGAAUACCAAUUGCGAAGGCAGCUUUCUGGAUCAUUACUGACACUGAGGAACGAAAGCAUGGGUAGCGAAGAGGAUUAGAUACCCUCGUAGUCCAUGCCGUAAACGAUGUGUGUUAGACGUUGGAAAUUUAUUUUCAGUGUCGCAGCGAAAGCGAUAAACACACCGCCUGGGGAGUACGACCGCAAGGUUAAAACUCAAAUGAAUUGACGGGGACCCGCACAAGUAGUGGAGCAUGUGGUUUAAUUCGAAGAUACGCGCAGAACCUUACCAACACUUGACAUGUUCGUCGCGACUUUAAGAGAUUAAAGUUUUCGGUUCGGCCGGACGAAACACAGGUGCUGCAUGGCUGUCGUCAGCUCGUGUCGUGAGAUGUUGGGUUAAGUCCCGCAACGAGCGCAACCCUCACUUUUAGUUGCCAUCAUUAAGUUGGGCACUCUGAAAGAACUGCCAGUGAUAAGCUGGAGGAAGGUGGGGAUGACGUCAAGUCCUCAUGGCCCUUACGUGUUGGGCUACACACGUGCUACAAUGGUAUCUACAACAGGAAGCAAGACUGCGAAGUUAAGCAAAUCCUUAAAAGAUACCUCAGUUCGGAUUGCACUCUGCAACUCGAGUGCAUGAAGCUGGAAUUACUAGUAAUCGUGGAUCAGCGUGCCACGGUGAAUGCGUUCCCGGGUCUUGUACACACCGCCCGUCACACCAUGGGAGUUGGUUCUACCUUAAGGCAAGGUUUCAAACCCUUGACCACGGUAUAGUCAGCGACUGGGGUGAAGUCAUAACAAGGUAGCCGUA
Molecule: ribosomal RNA, 1439 nt
Filed under: uncultured bacterium
Lineage: Bacteria
Description: bacterial SSU rRNA
Rfam family: Bacterial small subunit ribosomal RNA
Source: RNAcentral